Molecule: long non-coding RNA, 678 nt
Filed under: Oryza sativa Indica Group (long-grained rice)
Lineage: Eukaryota; Viridiplantae; Streptophyta; Magnoliopsida; Poales; Poaceae
Description: lncRNA OsZS97_12G015090
Source: RNAcentral
UUUGCAAUCUUGAGAAGAAUAAGGUUCGAACCCUGCAACUUUGGAAAGUCCUCUGUACUGCACCUGCAACUACAUGACUCUGAAUUCCUUCAGAUUUCGCAAACCUGCAACUGCAACUACAUCUACAUGACUUUGAAUUUCAUCAGGCGACGUGGAGGGGCUGCACCGGCUGCUGAAGCCGACGUGGAGGGCUACGGGCCAAGAACCAAGAACCCUCUCCUCCUCCUCCUCCUCCUCUCCUCUCCUCUCCUCUCCGGCAUCCAAGAACCCUCCCGUGUCCUGGUCAUGCCGCCGCCGGAUCCGGAGCUGAACAAGCGGUUGGCGUCGGCGUCGGCGCCGGAGCACGACCAGACGGCCGGCCCCUACGGCACGGUGCGUGCGACGACGGGAAAGGGAGAAGAGAAGGAAACCCUAACCCUAAAUUUGAAAGAGGAGGGGAGAGGGGAUAAAGGAAGCGUGCUCACCGGAGAGAAGGUGGCGGCCGGAGGAGAGAGCCGUGCCAUCGCCGUCGCCUCCGGGUCGUGCCACACGCCGCGCGCUGCCCCCGCCGUCGCGUCCGUGUCUUCGUUGCGCCGCCGCGAGGAAUUUUUCUGCUCCUCUCGAGUAGAUGAUUUUUUUCCUGGGCUUACAGAACAGGGAAAUCCGUGGUGGGCCGGGCUAAAAUUUGUUGGGGCUUAA